UUUUUUUUUUUUUAGUUUUAUAGAGAUUUCCGAUACAGGUUAGUCAUGUGUUCUAUCCCUAUUGAACCCAUCAUUUAAGUUAGGGUAGAUUUGUAAGGGCAAUAUGUUUACUAGUGGUUAGUGUAAAAAUAGUGAUAACUAUGAAAUUAGAUAUUGUAGCGAUAUUAUAGCGUAAAACAAAAAUAAAGCUGAACGCACACCACCCAAUCGCUCAUCCAAACUCAUUCUUAAUGGGUUCAAUGUUCAAAUUUUCAAAGAUUUGUCAUGUGUUGAAUCACAGAUGUAGUCAAAUCUACCUACCCAUCUUUCGACGUAAUUGAUUCGCUAUUAAAUUCUUUUCUUUUAAAUUUCAUGGUGGGACGUGUAGGGAUUUCACAAGAUUGUGUCAUAUGUUCUACCUGUUUCAUUUUUUUAAAAUUUCGAAUUUAUGUCAUGUAUUAAAAGCACAAUAGACUUGCCAUAUUAGAUCACUCUUAGAGAGGGGAAAAAUAUACUUUUUUACAUAAUUAAAAAAAAUUUUAGUCGAGACCAGAAUGUCCACCGCUGAUAGCAAUGACUAAUGUCCUUGUCGUAUGUGCUCUCUAAAAAGAUAAAUGACUAGCCAAAAAUAUGCUUCAUUCCCGAAGGUGAGAAUUAAAUCUCCAACCUUAUGAUUAAAGGAUAAGAUAAGCAACCAUCAAACCGCACUUAAUAUAAUUUAAAACGAAUUUUUUUAUCUACAAUAUUUUUAUAAUAAAACCAGAAAGAGGCAAAGGACCAUUUUAUUAUAUGCAUAAAAAAAAACAAUAAUUGGCGGGUUUUUUUAAGCUCAACACAGCUAAAAUCAAAGGUUCUUUUUUUUUUUUGUUCAUUCUUUUCCCCGCCAAAAUUUGUGUGUUUGAUUUUAGCGGUAAAUUCCCAAAACAAAAGAUUUGGUACUUAACAUCAGUUCCCACCAUCUCUACUUGUUUUCAUUUCAAAUCUGAAAUCAAAUCCCCUUUUAACCUCCAAACCCAAAUCCAAGCUUCAACUCUUUUCCACAAAUCUCCAAAAAUAACCCAGAAAAAGAAAAACCAUCAUUUGCAAAAGAAAAAUGGAUAGCAGAUUUCAAGUAUUGCCUCCACUCAAAAGAUUUCGGCUUUUGCAACAACAACAACACGAAGAAGAUGAAGUGUUCAAUGGCUCUAAAACUAACUCUUUUCCUCUCCCGGCGAAGAAAAGGAAGGAGACCAGGGAUGUUCCUCUGCCUGAAACUACUUCAUAUUGCUUGCCUGCCAAGAAGAGAAUAUGGGCUUUCCAACCUGAUUUCCUUUCCGGUAAGCCUCUUUUGCCUUUUGAUUUGAAUGUUGAGUACGAGAAGCAAGUUGAAAUGGAGGAAAACAAGAGCAACCCAAUUUGUAAAACUCCCCAAAAAUGCAUUUUUGAUACUCGAAAUGAGAUUUUCCAGAAAAGCAAUAAAACCCCACUUGAAGAUCGUCCCCCAAAAUGCAUCAAAACUAGGCAAGAAGUAGGGAAUAAAGAAAAUCAAAUCCCAAAGGAAAACCCACUUGUUAAAAGCCCCAAAAGUCACCAAAAGUGCAUCAACAUUAGCCCUACAAAAGCUAACAAAGAAGUAGAAGUAGAAGAGGAGGAAGAAGAUGGGAUUUUAUGUGAUAUUUGUAAAAGCACAGAUGGGGAUCCAAAAGAUCCCAUUGUGUUUUGUGAUGGAUGCGAUUUAAUGGUACAUUCCACAUGUUAUGGGAAUCCAUUAAUAAAAGAAAUCCCAGAAGGUGAUUGGUUUUGCAGCCUUUGCUUAGAGAAACCAAACAAUGAUAAACCCUUUGCUUGUUGCUUAUGUCCAACCAAAGUAGGUGCAAUGAAACCCACAACUAUUGAUGGUAAAUGGGCUCAUUUGGUUUGUGCACUUUUGGUACCUGAAGUGUUCUUUGAGGAUCCUGAAGGAAGGGAAAGGAUUGAUUGUUCAAAGGUACCUGAGAAGAGAUGGAAAGGGAGAUGUUAUGUUUGUAAGACUAGGAAAGGGUGUGUCAUUGAAUGUUCUGAACCUAAAUGUGGAUUGGAGUUUCAUGUCACUUGUGGAUUGAGUGAAGAUCUUUGCAUUGAAUAUAAAGAAGGAAAGAAAGGUGCUGUUGUUGCUGGGUUUUGUAAAUCCCACACUGAAUUGUGGAAAAAGGUACUUUCUUUUAGGCUUUCUACACAAUGUUUACUUUAUUAAUGCAGUGAAUAGGAAGGUGUCACUAAUGGGUUUUGUUUCUGUUUGCAGCAACAACAGACAGGGAAGUUCAAGAUUGUAGCUAGAGAUGAGCACAAGUAAUCAAAUGUGGCAACUUUGUAACUUGAUGAGUUUUAUAACUUUUGUUGGUGAUUUCUUUGGAUUACAGAUUCUAUAAAUUUAGGUUGUUUUUUUUUUUUCCUUAACUUAUAUGUGAUGAAGUUGGAACAAAAAUUUUGUUUAAGUUUUCAAUUCCCAAUGUUUGUUUCUACACACUUCUCAUCUUUGUUGCUUAUUCAGCUUAAUUUUGUAAUUUUGGUGUACUGAUAAAAUGUCAAAUUUAACUUUUAAUAUUUAUAUAUUUUUUUAUCAAUUUAAUCUUUACUGUCUUUAAAAACUAAAUUUGAUGUUAUGUUUUUUUAUAUUUGCAAAGAUAUUUAGGGAGUAUGGUAUUUGACCAUGGAUGACUGGAUAAUUCAUUAAAUUUGAUGUUUUAAAUAAUUAAAAUUUGUUAAAUUAAAAUGGAUAAUGUGUAGCAUUACUCUCACUAAGAAUUUCAAAUAUCAAUUGGUUUUAUCGAAAUUUUAUAUUAAUUGAAUUUUUAUUGAUGAUAGAUUAAUCAAUUAAGGUUUCUUUUUUUUUGUUAUUGUUAAUGAUCAAAUUUUGCUUUUGACAAAUUAUAUCAUAUGAUGAUGGCACAUGACAUACCAUUUGACGGCAAAUAAUAAAAGUAUAAAAAAAAUAUUAAAAUUAUUUAAAAAAUCUAUAAAUAUUUAAAAUGAAAAAAAACUAUAAAAAUAUGACAUUUCGUUUUCUCUAUAUUAUAACUCAAUUUAUUCUUCUCAAUCACAAUAAAUUAUCUUUCACUUGAUACCACCAUUACACUUCAAUCACUAUUACUUUUAACCAACUGCCUUCCUCAAAUCAGAUAAUCACAUAAAACCCUUAAAACCCUUAUCGUUGAUAAUGGUUGGAUGCUUAAAUUUAUUUGGUCUCCUUUAGCCUUUUAAAUAAUAGAUGAGUGGUUGGAAUAAUAGUAAGAAUUGGAACAUUCUAUAAUGAUUCAAAUCAGUUAAAAGCAGAUCAUAUCCCUAAUAAUAUACUUCAAUGAUGGCCAAUGUAUUUUAAGAUGCAAACAUAAAUCAGCUUUAAAUAGUACAGCAUUUGACAUCAGUUUUUUUUUAGGUCAAAUCUUACACAAUACAAAAAUCAUUUUUUAGAUCAAUUUUCAUGUUACCCAAAAAACAAGUAAAAUCAAGUUGGAAAAUUUCUCUACAACUUGGAUUUGUGUUCGACAGUUGGCUACAGAUACCUUGACCACCAGGUUGCAGCCAUCUCCCAUCUUCAUCUUUCAUCAUACCCAAACCAUACAUCUUACAAUUUUCAAGUUUUAGGCUUCUUUGGUGUGCCUGAAUUCCCUGCCUCAGCCUUGCGCUUGAUUCCCAAGAAAUGCUCAACCUAUUGAAUUGGAAUAUGAAUUAAACUAAAAUACUGAAUUCUGAUAUCAUCCCCAUUAAUGAUGAUUGAAGAGUUUAGCAUCAUAAUCACUAAAAGUAUCCAAUAAAUAAAAAGAACUAGACCUUCACUUGAAUUCCAAUGAAAAAGAUUCUAUGGCAAUGAAACAUGAUUGGCUUUCAGUAAAUGUAUAAGGUAAGAAUUAACUUGCCUUUCUAUCACCAAGCAUAGGCGUCAAGCCUCCCGGAAAAUCCUUCUCAACAGUAGCAAAGCCACUUGCAGGAUCACUAGUUUGCCUGGAAAUAAAUCACAUGAAAGAAAUGAGGUACAAUUGCAACCCACAACUGAAAAUGUAAUAAACAAGCAAUCAUAUUAAUUAAUGAUCAAAAUUAUAUGCAAUGGCAACACAUAUCACGUAGCAUAAAAUGGUAAACCAAGCUUCAUUUUGCACAAGGUCAAGUCCCUGUAACUGCACAUCAGACCUAAUAGUCACAAGAAUUAUUACCAACAGAGCGGAUCAAGUUGAUUUCCAAGUUCAUAAAAUAUCCAUUCAAAGAAAAAAAAAUACCAUAACAGAGAAAAAGGAAGAAGAAGCUAGAUAAUAAACCCUAGUUCCAGGCAGCUAAUAUGAUAUGUGGAUUUCUUUCAGUUCUUGAACUAAAAUGUUUAAAACCCAGCAAGCAGAGAUCAUGAAUUAACCUAAGGAAAGAAAGAACAUACCCUGGUUUGACGUGACCACUAAGGACAAGGUAGGGUGUUUUCAGCUGAGCUUGAGCUUCCCUCAUCCUCUCCACUGAAAGUGAAGGUGUAUCUGAAUUUUUCAUUUGCUUCAGCUUCAACUCUUCCUGAUAUUGCUUCAUUCGCUUUUCUUGCUUCAUUUUGCCAGGCCCCUUGCCAUGAAAUUUAUGAGAAAGCAUCCGGAAGGCUUCCUUAGGAGUCACCUGGAGAAGAUAGGAAAGUAGUUAUUUGUAAGUCCAAAUGCAAAUAUAACACAUUCAUUUUAUAAAUAUAUAAACGUCGGCACAGACUUAAGAAAGCAAUAGACCAGAUUGAAGUACUUACAAUUCGACCAAAUUCAUCUGUCCUUUCAAUGCGAAUAUCUUUAAAUCUAUUAUCAGUUUGGUGAUCAUCGUCUACAAUGCCAACAAGUUUGCUCUUUUUCUUGUCCAUGUUUCGGCCACCCCAUUCAAUAGUUUCUUUAAGUGUUCCUCGAUCUUUAAGCAGCUUCAGCGCACCUGAUAAUCCUUUGCCAACCGCAAUUUCGUGAAUGGUUUCAUCUGGAACAACCUCAUUGUUGUCCUCAUUAGCAGGUUUUUCAUCAGCACUAGUAUCAACGACCUCUGUCCAUCCACCCACCUCGUUUUCUCCAUUUUCUCUAUCUUGUUCAGAAGCUCCUGGCACUUCAUCCUCAUCCAUGAAGACAUCUUCACUGUCAGGCUUAUGGGCUUCUGAAGACCAAAUUAACAUUAACUGUUAUUAUUUACCAGAAAGAAAUUAUAAGCAUAAACAUCAAAUUCUUUUCUUUUUUUUUUCUCUAUUGAAAGAGAAGGGGUCAAGUUAGCUGGUGUAAUAGGAAUAUGUGUGGCCAAAAUAGAAAAGACGGAUAUUCAAAAACAAGAUCAAAAUUAUGAUAAAAAAUGCAUAUUACUGGUAGAAAAUCUAGAACCUAAAACUUCCAGGAGACUACCCUGACACAGGAACCUGUGAAGCUAAAUAUAUUCCAGAUUUUAGCAGAUGAUUUAGUAGCUGGCAGAAAACAAGAAAAGAAAAAAUGUGGUCAUGUUAUAAACGAUAUUAUAGUGAGUAGAUUUUGAAAGAAACCAAACCUUCAUCAAGCUGAAGACCCCAUACAAACUCCUCCAUCUCUGUGAUCACAACCUUGUUUUCUUGUGCCUCUCCAGUUGAGGUAUUUUGAUCAUCUGUAGUUUGAUUGCUAGCAGAUGUGGCAGCAAGGAGCGCUACAGCUUGUGGACCUGAUUUUUCUUCUUGCUUUUUAAGAGCCAACCUCCUUGCUUUUUCAAGGGAUUUAUAAAGAUCCUCUUCAUCAUCAGCAAAAACCUGAUUUUCAUCUUCCUCAGGUUUAACUGUAAGAGUUUGUUCGAGCCGCAGUGAUUUUGAUGCCUCAUCUGCUUUGGCAAAUGCUGCUUGGUAUGCAUUAUUUCUCUUUUCAGCCUCGGAUCUGGCCUCCUCUUCUUUAAUUGCUUGUCUUCUAGAGUCAUUCCUAGAUCCAAGGUCUCCAGCACCCAGCCCGGCAGAGACAGCUUCUGCUUCAAGGGCAUCUAUAUCCAACUUCUCUUUCUUCCGCAAAGCUUUCUUCUUUUUGGGCUUUUUAAAUCGAAGCAUUUCCUCUUCGGUGUAAUAAUCCGAUGAAACCUUCCCAACAUUAUUCAGAUCUUCAACACGGUUAUUAGUGGGAACACCUAGUAACCUUUUACGCAGCUGCCAAGUGAGGGAAAAGAAAAUAAAAGGAACACCAUUAGCAAAAAAAUGUUAAAAUAUGUUUGUUAUAACAGCUCAAAAAAAAUCAUUUAAAAAUCACCUCUUCUAAUUUCUUUUCAGCUUCACCAGUAAAGCGCCCCCUUUCAUCCAGAGUUACACCCUGAAAAUAAAUAUAAAGUAAAAACAGCCACCAAUGAUCAAAUACCACUUUUCUUCCAAUAAAAUACAAGGAAAUUUCAAAAGACAAUAUUCUAAUUGAAAUUCAAGAAGGAAAAGAAAGAUUUCGCAUGAGGACAGAGCUUAUAAACUAACCUCAUCUGCAACUGGAUCAUCAUAUUGUGGCAGUAUUUUUUUCUCAGAACCAGGAUCUUCGUUGAACCUAAAUUAACAUAAUCCAUAUUAAAGGUAACUACUAAAUCUGCUAGUAGGUAAAUUACACAGGCUCUUCAUUGAACCUUAAUUAACAUAAUCCAUAUUAAAGGAAUAUAUUAAACCUGCUAAUAGGUAAAUUACACACCCAAAAUAAUUGAAUACAUUGUAAUAUAGAGUUAAACCUAGGUUAGUAUUAAAUUCAACCACAUAGCUAGAGAAGAAUGAGAAGCGAACCUAUAAGUUUUUAGUUUUGUAUUAAAGGCAAAUUAUAUGCAUACACUAGAACUGAGCACAUGCAUAUUCACACACACAGAUUUACACAAUAUAUAUCAGAAUCUUACUUAUCAUCAUAAACCCCGGUUUUCUUCUUUGCAGCCUUGUAAGCCUCAUCCCGCUGCUUCUGCUCUCCAAUUUCAAUAUUUUCAAGCAUAUCAACAUCUGUCGGAUCAGACCAGAAAGCUCUGUUACACAAAAAUCUACGUCAUCUCACAAACAUAGCCAAAAAAUACAUGAGUAGCACCCCAAGACUUGUUUACCUUCAUUAAGGUCACCAUCAGCAAGUAUGCUCUGAUCUUUGAGUGUUAAAACGACAGCUCCACCAUCCAUCACUUUGUCAAGGCCAUGAAGAACUUUAACCCCUCCUAGAUCAUCUGUUAAUGGAUUGUCAGUAACAAUAAAUGAGCCAAUCAACCAGAUGCUGAGAUACAAGUAAAAACAGUCAUCACACUUCAAAAUGAAACAUUAGCUCCUAUUCAGGACACUGAACAAUACCCUAAUUUAUCUGAUCUAUUUAUAAUUAAUGGUUCAUUUGUUCACCAUAAUCAGUUGCAAUGUUUGGUUUGGACAUCAUAACAAAGACAAAAAUGGACCAUUGUGGCACUAACAGUAUGCUGCUCAACUCUUUUUGUUCAACAUUCAAUGACUACAUUUAAUACAUAAUUGGCAUUAUUUGCAACAAGAAAAGUUCAAAAGGAAAGUGAACAUACGAGUAGGGCGAUUAUCAGCUUCCUCAUCUUCAUCUUCUCCUUGAACGAAAUUAUCCUGAGAAAUUUAUUCCAUAGAAUUAAUUAUUACCAUCAUUCAUAUCACUUGCAAUAAAUAACCAUGAGAAGAAACCAUGUAUUGUAGAAAAGAAAGAACAAAGAAUAUCUACCUGCUCUUCAAAAAUCUUUGAUAGCUGCAAAGCUUUCUCCUUUUCAGCAUUCCUUUUGUCCUCAAGCUUACGACUUCUACUAACCCAUGCUGAAACCUCUGAAAGACCUUCAGAUUUCUUUUUCAAUCUGUCCUCUUUCAUUCUGAAAGAGAAUGUAAAGGCAAUGAUAAAUACUUGCACUAGGUUAAGCCUUAUAAUUAAGAAAAACAAACAAGACCUAGAACACAUUCUCCCAAAGCAAAGCCUAAAUACAUCAUCAAGUUCAGAAACCAAUCCUGUCAUGCAUUUAGAGAACCUUUUGGCCUGAUCACCAAAUAUUUUAAAGACUUGAGUAUAUCAUAGCCAUUCCUUAUAAAAAUGAAGUUCAAAAUUACCUCAUGAUUUAAAAUUUUCCAUCUACUAGAAUAUGCUACAGAAUUCAAAUAGCAUAAUCCCUUCCACAGCUACUAUUUUACAUGACAAAUCUACCAUAAAAAAUUAUAAAGAUGGAAUGAAGAAGAAAGAACGUCUAAUAUAUAGACAAUUUAAGGUCAAUUGAGAAUAAAUGAUUCAUUCACCUCACUAUGCGCUCCUCGAGCUCUGAUGAAGAUGCCUGCACUAAACUAGCAUUGCUUCCAGCAUUCAGCUCAGCUUCAUCCUUAUCUCUACGAUCUUCAUAGUCUAACGCAAGUUCUCCAUCUUUGCUUCCUUCAUAAUCUUCCUCAUGGUUUUUGACCACAUUGUCCCUAUCUCUUGAUCUCUCCUUCUCUAGGUCCGUCUCUCUAUUUUUCUGUUUACUUCUAUCUUUUCCCUUCUCUCUAUCUCUAUCCUUCUCUCCUUCCCUCUCCUUCUCUCGAUCCUUAAGUUUGUCUCUCUCCUUUUCCCUUUCCUUGGCCUUGUCUCUUUCCUUUUCCUUUUCUCUGUCCCUAUCUCUACUUUUGUCCUUUCCCCUUUCCUUCUCAGACUCCCUAUCCCUCUCCCUGUCCUUAUCCUUUCCUCGAUCCUUUCGGUCCUUUUCUCUCUCACGCUCAUGUUCUUUUUCUCUAUGCUUAUCCCUGUCAUAAUCUUUCUCUUUUUCCCUCACCUUACUAUCUUUAGCUCUGUCUUUCCCGUGCUCAUCUCUGUCAUCCUUCCUCCUCUCCCUGGUUGACACUCUAUCCUUCUCCAAGGAAUCUUUCUCCCUUUCUUUCAAGAUCUCAUCACUGCUUCUCUUAGAACGGUCCCUUUCUCUAUCCCUAUUUCGAUGAUCCUUUUCUUCUUCUCGACUGCUCUUCUUCUUGUCCUUACUCCGAUGCUUUUCGGUUUGCUCUAAUUCAUCACUGUAGGCUCCUCCAAGCCUGCGUUCUCUAGAAGCAUCAUCUUCCCUAUCAUAUCGAUCCUUCUCCAUCGCAAAUAACAGAAACACUCAAAAACUUAUCUGCAAAGAAACCAUGAACAAUAUGUGAUUCAUUCCAUACAAUGACCCAAACAUAAUCAGAUGUACAACCCAAAAUCAUACCAGUGGUGGGGAAUCAGUAUAUGAUCAAAACCACAAAAGUAAAGCCAGAACAAGCAAGCCUCUAUUUGGUUAUUGCUUUUGCUAUUCACUUUUUUUUUUCCUUCAAAAUUUGCAAAAAAGGAAAAAAAAAUAAAGAGAAGAGUAGAGAUGCAAAACCAUAGGCAAAUUCAAAUUACAAAAAAAUAAGAAAAAGGAAAUCUAUAUAAAAAUAGAAUCAUAUACUUCUCUAAUUCUUUAAAACCUACUAUUUGCUUAAAUCCUAACGCCCUCUUUUAAACUGGUAAAUGAUCAAUCAAACAGUGCCUAAAGUUGUGAAAUCUAAACAGUUCUCAGUUUCAAAAAGAUAAACACAAUGAAUAGUAAUUGCUGUUUUUUUUUUUUAAGGUUAGGGUGAAGUAUGUAAAUUACUAAAAGCUUCCUUAACAAAACUCACCAAAAGAACAUACCCAUAAAAUCAUCUAAAACACGAAAAUAAAAUUCCAUAGACCCAUAAGUUGUUGUUGACCAAAUAGAGAAUACAAAGAAAAAGAAGCAUAGAGAGAAAAAGGGAAAUUGAAAAUAAAAUAAGCGAAACGGAUGUUACCGGAAACUCGAAUGAAUGCCAAGAAGACGCGGUAGCGGUACCGGUAGCGGCGGCGUAUGAUAUCCGGCGGCCGGAGAUGAAUUAUAGGUGACGGAAGUUUUCGAGAGUAAAGCUAGUUUGGCACAAAGAGAAGAAGGAUUUCUUCGCAAAAAUUCUGCACUCCUGAUUUUGAGAAGAAAAGGGUUUAAUGGGUCGGGUUGGUAUAUUUUGGAUUGAGACGGUCAUUAAUUGGGUUGGGCUUUUGGGAAUUUUUUCUUUAGGGGCUUCUUAGAGUUUGUUUAUGUUGUAACUUUUAAAUAGAUCGAAAAUUUGUGUUUAAACGCAUUCGAACUUAUAUUAUUCUAAUUGUUAUAACAGUAAAAUAACAUUGUCAAUUGAAUUAAGGUUCAAUCGAUAUUAUUAUUCCUUACUCUUUAAAAAAUACGAGCAUCUCUAAAUAAAGUUAAGCUUUAAUUUCAAAUUGCAUUUAAUAUAAGAGUUAACAUAUAUUUUGUUCGUACACUUAACCAUUAGUAUUAUAUUGGUAGCUAAACUUAAUUUCAUCAUAUAGAUAAUUCUGCAAUACUACAUGGUACUAACAACCAAUAAUACAGGAACACGUGAUAAUUUUAUAUUACGACACGUGACAAUCCUAUUAAUUUUUUUAAAUAUAAAUUUAAAAAAAUUGUAAAAAUUAUUUUAGGUUAAGAAUCAUCCUAAACAAAAGUUGUCAAAAUUCAUUCUAGAAGUGUUUUUUUAGUAAUAUAUUUAUAUUUUUAUUAUAAAAUAGCAUGCUUUUAUAUAUUAUUAUUUUUAAAUUGAAAAAUAUAUAAAAUCUAAAACAAUUAUAUUUCUAAAACAAUUAUAAAUUUAUAAAAAAUUAUAUUUCACAUCAAGACUGAAUAUAGACAAAUGGUUAUCCUAGUUUGGGUACCAGUUUGUCCGGAUGCAUUCUGGAUGUAUUUUUUAGCAAUUUUAUUUAUUUUUAUUCUUUAAAUACUAUGUUUUUAUAUUAUUAUUUUGAAAUUAAAAAAUAUAUAAUUUUUUUUAAAUAUAUAUCAUUUUAAGUUUAGAAUAAACAGGGAUAAAUGGACAACUUCAUUUUAUCCAAAUUUAUUCUAGAAGUGUUUUUUUAUAUUUUUAUUAUUUUUAAAUUUUUUAUAACAAAAUUGAUCAUACAAAUAUUAAAAAAUAAAAAAAUCAAAUAAUACUAUAUCAACAUUUUACAAAACUCCGGCAAAUUAAAAAGAAUACCAUAACAUAAUAUAUAAAUGGUAAUAAGUAAAAAUCAUAAAAUUACUAAAAAAAACAUAAAAUGAUAUACAAUAUCAUCUAAAUUUAGACUUCCAUUUAUCGUUAUUCAUUUUAGACAUGAAAUGGUUUUUUUUAUUAUAAAUUUAUAGAUAUUUAAAAUUUUAAAAUAUAUAAAUUUAUUUUUAAAAAACAUUCAAAAUGAAUAAGGAUAAAUAAUUAUUUAAGUUUAUUUGAAUCUUGACAACAUUUUAUCUAAAUUCAUUAUAGUUUUUAUAAAUUUUUUAUAAAUAUAUAAAAAUAAUUUAAAAAAUAAUUUUAGAUUUUAUAUAUUUUUAAUAUAAAAAUAUGAUGUUUAAUAAAAAAAUUCAAAAUAUAUAAAUUUAGUAAAAAAAAUUAUUUUAUUUAAUAUUUAGUAAUUUUAUAUAUCUUUAUACAUGCUUAAUUUUCUCAUAAUAUAUGUUACAUAUCAUAUAAAAAUAAAAAUAAUGUUAUAAAAUUGAAAAAUGAGCUAAACCAGGCUUGCCUAAUAUUUUGUUUUUCCAAACCUUGUUCCAAUUAGGCCAUAAAUAUACACACGAAUUUAAGCUAAAAUCAAUACCAAUUGGAAGCGAUUUAUUAAAUAUAAAAUUCAAUUAUAAAAACAUAUAUUUACACAUAACAUAAAUUAGAUAAUGGAAAAUAAAUAAAAAUAUCAAGAUCCAUCUUUCCUAGCCUUCACAAAGAAUACCCUAACUGUUUAUGAGAAGUCAGUGAUUGUUCAAAGAAAGGCCACCCCAUUUCCGGGUAGUCGAUGAACAUUCGUAGCUAUUACCUUGAUAACGAAGAAGAGUUUGACCCGAUGCUCCCGGUUAACUUCAAUUUAAGACAAUCUAUACUAAACUGUACCUACAGUCCUAUGGGCAACUACAGCCACAGCAGCAGCACCGACUGCACCAAACUGGGUUUGUGCCUGCAGAAUUUUUGCAUCAAUGCCCAAUCUAUCAUUUAAUUGCUCUGCCUUUGCUUGCGGUUGUUGAUACGGGUUGCUCUUCAUGCCGACAGCCAUUGCUGGGGAUUGGCUUGCGGCCAUGCUGAACUGUGGUUGCAGUUUGGCUUGUUGAUUCAUGUCACUCUGUAUUCUGGAUUUCUCUUGAUUUAUGGUGUUGGUGCUGGAACGGGGCUGCGGAGGAAGGACUGUGGUUUGGUGAAAGACCUCAGCAUCGUAACCAUCUUUAGUAUUCUUUGGAUUCUCAUGUGGUAUGACAGAUUCGACAACUCUCCCGGGUUUUGCUGUACAAAACAAGAGGAGAACAAACUUCAGGAUCAGCUAAAUGGUGAAGCAAGAAAAACAUAUACUUGGCCGUAUGCCUAUGAUCAAUGAGUAAACGUAUUUUCACAUUUCGUGCUAGUGAAUAUGCCUAAGGAAUGUUGGAAUCUUCAACAAUGUGAAAUUAUUGUAGAAAAAUCCACUCCCGGUUUUCAAACAGCAAACAGAGAGUGGGGCCCGGAGGGACAACAUAUGAAAUAGUUUUCAAUCCAGUCCCGGUUUUCAAACAGCAGGCAGAAACAACAGUAAAAAGAACAGAGAGCACCAUUCAUACCUGCUGGCACCUUAGGUGGAGGACGUGCUAACUUUCAAUUACCAGAAAUUGCAUCAGUUACUUUUUUGGAAGCCUCUUCGGUAACGUUUUGAUUCUCACACAAAACCGAAGCUGACUGCCUAUUCAGAGGUAUUGUACUGGAAUGAACUGUAUUCCUGCAAUAAAUAGGACACAAGUCGGAAAUUGGAAUAUCGCGUCACCAUAAGGGGAGAAAAUGUGGUAAUUUGUUUGAAUCCAUAUGUUAGUGGGGGAAUGCAUAAAAAUUAAAAGAACAUAUUUAUUUUUGUUUAUCAUGUUCAUAUGCAUAUAUUGAUCACGAGACUAAAUUUCUCUUCACCCUAUCAUAAAACCGUAAACCCCAGAGCAGUUGAGAAUAACUGUAUAAAGAACAUUUCUGAUUAAAGGAAAAUGUUAAAACAUGAAAUACCUCGGUAGGGACGUGUGCUUCCUCUCCGAAGGGAAAACCGGCACACUUCUACCACUGUUUUCUUCAAGAUAUGCAAACUGCUUUCUGAAUUGACCAAUGGCACUGCGAUAAAACCAAAAUAUAAUCAAGCAGAUUAAGAGUGAAAAAAUACGAGAAACAUAAAAAUUAACGAUAAAUGCAUUAAGAUAAGUAGGAAAAAUUCAAACCUCGGAUAAAGAAAAUUAGUUCCUUCAUUUCCGUUUAUAUAGUCUUUGAGCAGCUGAGGAUGAUAUUCUAGUAUCUCUCUGUAAAUUAAUUCCCUAACAUCCUCCUUUACCAACCUUCGCCUCUCAAACUCGAACUCUAAUUUCGAGAUUGGCUGACAAGAAGGUUCCCUCUCAAUUUUAGCCAAGCCUUUGAAGUAAGGAUCGGCUAAUGCCUAUCACAUUAAGACAAAGAAGUACAAUUAAUGUAAAGAACACACAAACAUGCAUCAGAAACGUCCACCAUUUUUUGACUCAAUUGCAUCCAGGACACCAUAUUUAUAGCAUUAAAAUAAACGAUAUGACACCUCCUCAGCAGUUGGUCGGUCUUUUGGAUCAAACGCUAACAGCCUCUGCAAUAGCCGCACUGCUAACGGGUCUACAUUUGGGAACUUCUGUGAGAAAGGCACAGGUUGUUUUAUCCGCAUUUCUGUCAAGUAUUUUCGUGCUUUAUCAUUUCGGACCUGCAAUCGUGUGAAACAAACAUCACCAUUCGCACUCUAUAAAAGAAAAGAGUAAAAUAUCACCCUCCAGAAACAAAACAUAAACACACACAUAAAAGGAAAGCGAGAAAGAGGCCAUACUCCAGAAAUAGUUUCAGGUGAAGGCGUCCCCAAAAGAUCAGUGAUCAAUUCCAAUUGAUGAACGACACUUUUUCCAGGAAAUAGAGGCUUCCCCAUCAAUACCUCGGCAAAGAUGCAGCCAAUGCUCCAAAUAUCAAUAGCCGGUGUAUACUGCAGACAGUUACCAACAAAAAUUAGACUUGAAUACGUAAAAUUAAAAAGCCCCGCCACAAGUUAAGCAUUCUCGAGAAAUAGACAUAACUAGACAGAAUUACCUGAAUGACAGAUAUUUCAACUUCCAAGAGAGUUCAUAGUCCUCCCUGAACAACAAUUCUUUUAAUCUAAGAAUUACUGUUCACUAAAAGGCACUCAAGUAUCAUUUAUAUAAACAAAAUUGUGGUGAUUCGCUAAAUACGACAUAGUUCAAAUAAGACAUGGUUAAUUCAAUAUUUGGCAAUAAAUGUGGUGAUUGGCUAAAAAAGUCAACCCUCGAAAUAAAACCAAGACAUUAAACUAGAAGAGGCAUACCUUGGAAAAGAAAAAUCCACACAGCUCUGGUGCCCUGUACCAUCGCGUAGCAACAUAGUCCUGAAAGGAACAUAGGAAAAUAACGUAUAAACAUGAGUAUCAACUCUUCUUAGUGGUAGAAAAAGAAAGCAUGCACCCAAAACUACAUACCGUCCAAAAGACGGUGGUUGGGGUGUCACUAAAUGCAACUCUUGCUAGCCCGAAGUCGCAAACUUUAAGCUUGCAAUUGGCAUUUGCCAGUAUAUUCUUUGGUUUAAGGUCACGAUGGUAAACAUUAGCUGCAACCGAGAACUUAGCAAUCAGUGUAAAUUUGCAAUUGCUUUCAAGCACCAUAUCCCAAUUAGAUGGCAAAAACCGAGGCAAAAGCAAUUUACAUCAAUGAGGGAGAGACUUCAACCUUCCAUUAAGAACAGUAACAAGCCAAAAGCCAAUGAAAAAUAUAGCCUUAAUUACAGACAUGUACGAAAGACAAUUAAAGAGAUGAAACAAUUGUUUACCUGUAUGCAUAUAUUUCAUUGCACGAAGCAUUUGGUAAAGGAAAAACUGGUGGUGUUCACGGGUUAAGUCAUCAUUAGCUUUGAUGACUUCGUGAAGAUCAGACUCCAUGAGCUCAAAAACAACAAAUAUAUCAUUGAAUUCCCUCUUUGACGGUGGCAACAUUAUAUGCUUAAUUUCAACUAUAUCAGGAUGUCUAAGAAGUCUAAGCAGCUUGACUUCACGUAAAAUCCUUAAAGCAUCGGAUGUGUAGUCGAAUACAUCUCGUAUUUUCUUUAUUGCGACUUUCUUACCAGUAUGAGUGUCAAGUGCCGCACAAACAACUCCAUAGCUUCCCUUCCCAAUGACUUCAAUAAUUUUGUACUGGUUUGCAUCGCCAUAUUCAGUGAAAAAGUCCUCUUUUAGGUCCUGAAGAACAAAAGAGAAAAACAAUCAGAACCGCGCAUGACUGGACCAUAAGUAAGUUAUCUAUGAAUUAAAGAAAAGAAUAAGAAGCAGCAGCGAGAGGGGAAAAACAGAAUCGGGCAUUACUGGAUCAUACAAAACAUGCAACAAGUGAAUUUUCUAUGGAGUUAAGGACAAAGAAAAGUAGCAACAGCAGCUAAAGAAUGCAGCAGAGAAGCAGUAACAAAAAUAGCCAAAACAACCAGCAUACCAUAACUGUAUAACUACUAACAAGCAUAUAAGAUAACGGAGUCAGUUAAUCAAGAUAGAUUGAUCCAAAAUCUGAUUCAAAUCCAAUAUAACACUUAUGGGUACAUAAGAAAUGAAUUGAAUCAAUUCCUUCUAAUGAAUCGGUCCACUACAACUUCGCAUAUGGGAUACAAAGGGAGCUAAUAGGAAAUGAUAAUCUGAAUCUCACUCAAAACUAAAGGUCUAAAUAGACUUGAUGUUAAAAAUGAAUGAAGACCUGGAAACAUGAGUAUGGCAUUAUCAAGAACUCAAUAAAUUAACUGCAUUUAAGACGUUACAAAUGCACACAAAUCUUUGUUCGACUGCCUGCAAAAGAUAUCCAUUGAACUUGAAGUUGCUCAAAUGAAGCCAAAAGCCCAAAACCAAGAGUCUUCCUACAGCUUCUAAUAGCAUUUAGAGAUGCAAAAAAAGAUUGACUUUCGGAAAUGGAUCCAAAGUCAUUGCCUAAGGGGAACAUUCCAAAUAUUUCUCUUUGCUUGACAAUUUCUAAUAGUAAAAAACCAAACAUAGAAUCCAUCUAGACUAGACUCAUUUCUUGUUGCCAAUCAUAGCUAGAAAGGAAACCAAUAUCACCUUCAAAGAAGAAAGCCAAAUCAAAAAGAACCAAUAAAGUUAUUCGUGUUUAUCAUAUAAAAAACAAAAGCAUCUUUACAGUAAUCCAAAACAAGUUCAAAGAGAAUAAAUUUCAGGAAUCAUUUACAACAUUAAGCCUCGCAAUCAUUUUAAAUAACAAAACUAAUUCAAGAAUUUAAAAAUCCACCACUUCUUAUAAGUUAAAUUCCUCUUUUCAAAAUAUGGAAUAUCUUGUCUACACGACUGGUAAUGAAACAUGCUUUAACAGUUCUGAAACUUCAAGUUGAUUUAAUAACUUAUCAAGUACAAGUCAAGGUCUUUUUCUUUGUUCUCUUUCUCUUCUACACUAAGAAUUGCUUCAUUUCAGCAAAAAAAGAAAAAAACUAAAAGUGAUCUUCUCUAAGCUCAGUUCCAAAAUUAAUGCUAAAACUUAACAAAAAAGAAGAAUCUAACCCCAAAUGUCAAUUUAUCUCCUUUCACAACACCUCCAAAGGAUUAUUAUCAACUUAGAAUCCAUAACACCAACGCCUUAUCCAUUCUAUUCUAACAAAGGAAAGAAAGAAGAACCUUAAAUUUUCAAUGUAUGCUCAAGACAAUCAAAAAGUUAAAAUCUUUUCCACUUUCAAACACAAAAGAACUUAGAAUUCUAAAGCUUUAAAAAUAAAAGGAAAAAAAAACAACAUAUUUUAUACCAAAAGAAAAGAAACCAACCUUCUUCCACUGAUCCUGCUGCAUAUUUUCUUCAACCCCAAAAAUAUCUCCUUUAUAUAUAGAGAGUUCUUCUUAACUGAAAAGUCACCCAAAGAACAGAAAUAGAAACAAAAAAGGAAAAAGAUUUGUCUGAGUAGCCAAACACAAGCAGACUAGAAAGAGUAAACCAGCCACAUUUGCCUAAACCAAAGUUUCUUUUUUAAUUAAAAAAAAAAACUUAUUCAGAAGUUCCUGAAUUCUGGGUCGUUUGAAAAACUGAAAGAUCUGGGAGAGCUCGAAUGUGAUUUUGGUUUUCUGUUGUCUUCAUUAAACUUCACUUUAUAUUCCUUUCAAAAAAAUAUAUUUUAUAUUCAAUGAACAUUUAAAAAAAAAAAAAAAGGAUUAAUAUCGUAUUCAAAUAAUUUGCUAUCCACCAGUUUUUUAUUCUGAAUUUCAUUUUUUCAGUUUAAGCCCUUUUUAAUAAUUGCUAUUGGUCAAAUUCUGCUAUUAGACCUGCACUUUAUAUAAGUUAGGGAUUUAGUAUUUAUAUUUUAAUUUGGUCAUUUUUGGUGUCUAUAUUUUUAGAAUUGGAAAAUUUUAGUCCUAACUAAAUGGUAACUAUUAAAUCCAUUAAGUUAAAUUCUUUUAUUUUUAAAAUUUGAUAUGUCAAAAUUAUUAUCAGACGUGGAAUGCUAUGCUAAUUUGUUAUUUCCAUAUACUACUGACAAAUAAAAAACUAAUUAAUAGAUUUAACUUGUGUCGUUUACAUUAAUACUGAAAUUCAAAAAAUAUAGUGAUUAAGAAUGAUAAGAAUGAUCUAAUUGGAGAACAUAGACAAAAUCUACAAUGUUACAAAUAAUACAAGACUAAUAGCAUAUUUUAACCAAACAAAUUUAGCUGAUAUCGUUUGUUCAGGAUUGAAAUUUUAAAAUUUGAAAAAUAUAGGGACUAAAAUUGAUUAAAUUAAAGUAUAGAUAGUAAAUCUAUAACUUACACAAAGUACAGGGCAUAACAGCAGAAUUUGACCAUUACUAUUUUCCUUUAUUUAUAAUCGCUUUUUGAUAAUUUUUUUUUUACUUUGAUGUUUUAUAUUUUAAUAUUAUUUAUUAACGAUAAAUAUGGUUUUAAUUUUUUUUAAUAAGUUUAGAUUUUGUAACAUUUAUGAUAUGGAUGAAUGGAAAUAUUUAUCUUAAAAAAAAUAUAUUUAUAAAAUCAUUUCAAUAAAUUAUUAUUGACUGAGUGGCAUAAAUUUUUUAAUUAUCUGUUUGAUUCUUAAAUAAUAAUUUUAUUAAAAAUUAUCUAAUAAAACAUCAUUAUAAUAAAAUUAUAUUAUCCUUUAAAUUAAAUUAUUUUAUAUAUAAUAUAUAUAAAAAUUUUGUAGCGCAGAUUUUACAAUUGAACUCGAUACCUAUAAAUAUCAAAGUACUCUUAAAAAUGUAUUUUAAGAAAUUAAAUACUUGUAUGAUUUCAUGUGUUUUUCUUUUAUAAAUUAUUAUUUUUUUCAGUUCUCUAAUUGACAUUUAACUCAAUUAAAUAAUCUAUAAUAAUAUAGAUACUUAGGGGGAAUAAUUAAUUAAAGUUAUAUACGAGUAGCUAAUAAAACUUUGGUACUGUUGGCUAAUGUUAUGAAUUUUAAGUAUUUAAGCUCUAAUCUCGUUGUACCUAAUUGCGUAUAUUUGGGUCUCCAAUUUUAUUAUGUGCAUCCGUGUAAAUGUGAGUUUUAGUUUGGAUUUUUUUUUUAUAUUUUUCGUUUAUUUGUAUGUCGUAAUUUUUUUUUAUAAUUAGUUGGAUAUAUAAUUAUAUUGAAUUUAUACUUUCUUGUAUUUGUAAUUAUAUUAUUUUUUCUUUUUUUAAAUAUAAUUAAUAAAUUUGAUUUAUCACAAUCAAGAAACUGAUUUUACUAGAAACAACUGGAAAGCAACUAGAAAUGAUGUGAUGGGAUGGAAAUAUUAAAUUGACAAUUUACAUAUGAAAACAUUAAUCUAAAACUAAAUUAAUUUUAGUAAUAUAUAAAUUAAUAUUUGGAAAUAUUUGGGUAAAUAUAUUAAGUUUGAAAUAAGAAUUUAGGUAAAAAGAUUAGGCUUAUUUAAGAUAUGGUUGGGAUUGAACUUUAAUAUUAAGGCUUUAGCUUCUUCUUUUUUUUAAUUUUGUAAUAUAUUAUUUUACUUUCAUAUAUUAUCUAAUUACAUAAAUAUUGAAUUUUAAACAAAUUUUUAAUUUUUAAUUUUUAAACAUUAAAAAAUAAAUUAAGUUGUUCAUUUUUAAUUUUAAGUAAAAUAUAUUAAAUUAGUAAAUUGUGAAUAAAAAUAGCACAAUUUUUUAAAAAAAAAUAAAAUAAAAUAUUAAUAUGGCUAAAAAUAUUUAAAUUAACAAUUUAAAAAUAGAGAAGGGCAGAGGUAAAUUUGAGUUAGCUUAAAUUUUGACAAGUGUAAAUAAUAUUAAUUGCGUUACAUAGUCGAGUCCUAUGAAUAUUUCUAAUUGUUAAAUAGGGUAAAACACACUUCCCCUCAUGUUUAAUGUAAAAUUAGUUUUUUUUUUUCUUAUACAAUGCAUGAGUUUAACUUGUGUAUAAAAAUAUUUAAAAUAUAUAUAUAUAUUGUUUUGAAUCUAUUACGUGCAUAGAGAUUAUGAAGUACAAAUAUUAAUAUUAAACAAAUUAAGUAUGCAGAAAUAAAAUUAUAAACUUAAAUUGAAUUAUAUAAAUGUACUUUUUAUAUCUCUAAAUCUUACUUUAGUGUGUAUAUAAAUAUAUAUAUAAAUAUAAUAUGUAUGAAGUAUAUAAUAUGAGUAAUUUAAAUAAAACUUGGUAUAUUUUUUAUAUUUUAGUAUGUUAAAAUAGAUAUUUAUUUUAGAGUUGUCAUCGUAUUAAUAUGUCAAAUGGGUUGCUUAUAAACUGUACCGCAUAGACUUUUUUUUUUUUUAACCUCAUAUAUUAUAGUAUAUGUAUAUAUAUAUAUAUAGGGUGAGUUUUUGAUAUACUGGUAGUAUAUUUUUUUGUUCCACAAGUAAUUUCAAAAAAUUGAUAUCUAUUUUUUUAAUAUUUUAUUAUACUUUUAUAAAAUAUUUAUUAACCCUCUAAUUCUACUUAUGGAAUCUAAAAACUUCACUAAUAGUGUAACAAUUAUUUUUCAUAUAUAUAUAUAUAUAUAUAUAUGUAUAUUUAUAUAUGAUACACUUUCCACCUUUGAAGAAAAUCUCAUAAACCUGCUUGAGAUCUAUUUAUUAUGCAAAUUUUAAAUAAAAAGUUAAUUAUAUCAUUGCUAUUAUUUAUCUAUGUAAUUUAUAUAUAUUUUAUUCAUUUUCCAUUUUUAAUUACAAAAUAAUAAUUUUUUAUUUACAUAUUAAAUUAGUAUAAAAUUAAAUAUAUUUGAAUUAUUUGAUAAAAUUAUAUUUAAUUUGGUUAUAUAUUAACCUUUGACAUAAAUUCAUUAACUUAUUUUUAUGUAAAUUAGUUAAUUUUCAUUAUUAAUUUAAAAAUUUUAAUGGAAAAGAAUUUGAUUAAAAUAUUAAAUGAAAAAAUAAAAUCAUUUGAAAAUUAAUAUUUACUUAAAUUAAAACUAAAAUUUAAAUACUCAACAUGUAUUUACAUAAAAAAAUCUUUAAAAAAACAAAUUAUAAUUAUAAUUAAUAAUAAUUUUUUAAAAAUAAAUUUAUAGCUAAUGAGACCUUAGUUUAAUGAAAAUAUUAAAGUCCUAAUAACUUUUAAAUCUUAGGUUUAAAUCUCACUUUGUAUAAAUUGUGUAUGGAUUCUCAAUGCAUAUUUAUUUUGGUUUAUGUCCCACUAUAGGUGGGCUCUAUAUAGAUUUAUUUUGAUUUAUGCUUAGAUAUAUUAUGGUUAUAAGUCGAAUCGAACUUUACAAUGAUCAAUUCUAAUUAUAGUUACAUGAAUGUACUCUUUAUAAUUACAAUUGUAAAUGUACUUGUAAUUUUUUUUAAAAAGAAAAAAAAAACUUACACAUAUUAAUUGAAAAUACAAUUAUGUUUAGCGUAUAAUUAUAUUAGUUAAUAAUAAAAUUUAUAAUUUAAUUUUACAAUAAUUAAUAUAUUUUUAUAAGUAAUAAGGUUUUUAUUAUUUUAAAUUGAAAAUGAUUGAAUAUAAAACUUAAAGAUAAAAAAAUAAAAAAAAUUAACUUAAAAGUAAAGCUAUCCUUCUAUUUAAAAUUUAUUUAAUAAAUAAAUCUUUAAGGUUUAGUGUAUUUAUCAUCAAAACUUAAAAGGAUAAAAAGCAUUUUCCAAACCAUAAGGGAUAAAUGGAUUUUUAUGGGGUUUCAAUAAUUUUCUCUUCAAAAUAUUAAAAACUCUUGUAUUAAAUAUUUUCUUUUUUAAUAAUUUAAUCGUCAUAUUUUACACAUAAAUUAAAAAAAUUCUAAUUGUUUAAUAUAUAUUAAUGUAAAUAAUAUUUUAAAUCAAUAUAAUAACGAUACCAGAUCGAUUCAAAAUUUUACAUACAUGAUAAGUAUAAAUAUAUUGAUAAAUUCAAUAAUUGAAUUAUUAAAAUAUUAAAUGCAUAAAUAAUAAGAAAUAAUAUAAAAUUACUUUAAUUUUACACUUAUGUAAAUGAAUCCUUCAACAUCUAAUUUCUUAUAUUAAAAUCUAUGAAAAAGAUGAUAUUAAAUAAGUAAUUAAUGUUUUUAAUUAACCACUUAAAAAAUUUGCCAAACAUCAGAGGGCAUCAUCUUAAAGCCAAUAAUGUUGCUUUCACUUUAUAACCACCUUAAAGCCAAUCAGUUGUGCCCUCAUUCAUGGGGAAUCAUUUUCCUCUUCUCAUUUUCUUUUUGGUCCCUUUGAAGAAAAUAACCAACUUUAUUUAUUCGAAUUUUGUUAUUUUUUAGACUUACAAAAACAAUUACAAUAAAUAAGAAAUGAGUGUUUGGUACACUGACAGUAUAUUCUUUUUUUAUUUUAUAAACAACUUUAAAAAAAAUGACAUGUGUCUUUUUUAAAAAAUAUUUUAUUAUAUAUUUAUAAAUACUUAUUAAUUCCGUAACUCUAUUUUGUAAAAUCUAAAAUUUUAAAUAAUUUUUUUUAAAAAAAUUGAAAGGAUGAUAAGUAAUCUUUAAAAUGGAGAGGAAAUCUAAAGGAAAUGAAUGAAGUUGGUCAAAUUUUGGUUAAAGCUGUUUAAAAUUGGAAGAACAGAAAAAAUUUGGUCGGUGGUGACAGUUUUAUUACUAAUACAAAAUGACGUGAUACUUACGUAGUUACAGAAUAAAUAAAAUAUAAAAAAAAUCAAACCCACGUUUAAAUCAUUAAAAAUAAUUUUGAGAAUUUUUUAAAGGUUGUAAAUUAAGUUAUUUAUUUAAAAUAUUUAAAAAAUUAUUGAAAAGACAUAAAUUUUUUAUUUUUUUAAAAUUUAAAUUUAAAUUAUUUUCUAACUAAAUUAGUAUCGAGUUAAAUUUUACACUUACGAACUAAAAUAUGAUAUUAAUAUCGAAAGCUUAUAUAAUUAUGGAUUGAGAAUGAAAAGCAAAAAACUUGUACAUGAAUCAAGCUUUAUAAAUACUUCCAAAAUCAACUUAUCAUAACCCUAUUUUUGUUGGUACAUAAAGAUAAUGUUAAGGAAAGCUAAACCCACAAGCAUCAUGUUGUAGAAAGGGGAGGAAAUCCUCUGGUGGAGCUUCAAGAAGGACCAAACCUACGUCGGUCACUUGUGCCAAAUUCAUUUAAUGGUCUGCAAAUUCACAAUGAAAGCCAGACACUCUUCAAUCAAGGUGCUGAACGGAUAACAGUCUUCAGGUGGUUUGAUCAAGACGUUUACCAUCAACAUUGCAUCUUGGAAUACCCAGACUUUCGCUAAUUGUCUCAACAAUCGAUUUUAAUUCAUGAAUUGAUCACGUAAUGAAAACUUUAACUUUUUAAUGGGAAAAGUUAAUUUUCUCUAUGGGUAAAGAAAUCAAAAGUAAAACUCAAGUUCCCACAAAAAAUAGAUUUUAAUUUGGAAAUCUCAUUAUAUUUCAAUAUAAUAACUACACUCAAUGAUGAUGUUAGUCGCCGGUUGAGUCUUAUCUCGAUUGCUACAGACAUUGUUGUCAGGGCAAGAGAACGUAGGUUCGAAUGUGCUGAAGUGCAUUAUCCUCCUAUUUAAGUGUUAGAGAUGGGGGUUAUGGAUAUCUAGGCAUUAUGUCAAAAAGAUCAAAUAUGAUCGGAACAUAUUGUUUUUUAAAAAAAAAGCUUAACUCAUGGACUCUAUAUAUAAAGAAAAAAUCACAAGAGUUCUACUAGAACAAAAAAAUCAAAAUAAUAAUAUAUACUGGGCUUACAAGUCCUCUUUCAUGUAUUAGGUACAAUUAUAUGUAUUAUUUAGUCUUUAAACCAACUCGUAUAAUUUAUCCAACCCAAUAAUCAAUUUUUUAUUUCCAAAAUAUUAAUUAAUUUUGUAAAUUUAAUUAUUUCCUCAACUCAAUUCUAAUUCCAUUAAACUCAUCAUGACAACUUUACUAUACUAAGAUCUGAGUAAAUAAAUUUAAUUGUAUUAUUCAGUAAAACUACAAUGACAAUUUAAUUUAGUUUUUCUACUUUGAAUUGAAUUAUUUAAUUACAAUCAAUUAAAUAAUAGUUCAAAUAAAUUAAAUUAAUUCCUAAGUUAUCUCUUGCUCCCCGUGAGAAACUACGUUCAUUGUGAAUAGCAAUACUUGCAAUCUAUUUCUCUUUUUGUUGUUUUCAUUGAUUCAACAUAUCGAUUCUAUUUGCACUCCGAAUAUGGUUGUGUUGAGCUAGUGGAGGAAUCAAUUGGACAUAUAUAAUCACGGUUCAAAUAAUUUGUAAUUCUUCAUCUAUUGGUUACAACAUUAUUUUGUCAUGUAGUUUGUAACAUCCCUAACACCCCUUAAGUCGGCAAUAGUGUUAUUUGGAGAUUGCGUGUGUUAGAAUUUUCAAAGCAAAUAAAAUAGCAAUUAUCAGUGUUAGUAGAGAAUGUAGUUGGGAAGCGGAGAGAAUUGAAAAGACUAAUAUAAUGAAAUAUAUUAAUAUAGGGUAUACGUUAAAUCGUACAAGCGUGAAAAAUGUUGGGAAAAAUUGUGAAAAUUUAAAGUAUAAAUGAUUAAAUUGAAUUAAAGGGAAAAAAAGAAAUGAUUAGAAGUGUAAUUAUAUCAAGAGAGUGUUAUGAAACAAAGCUGGAAUUAUGGAGAAUGAUAAGGGGCAAAAUGGUCUUUUUCUUAAAUAGAUAAUUAUGAUGAAAACCUUAUAAUUGUUGGUGAAAUUAGAUCCUUUGGAUGGUGUUGGAAGUUGAGAAUGAAUAAUAUCCAUUUGUUAAAAAUGAUGAUGCUUAUAAUAAUAAACUAUAAUUAUAAUAUUUUAUUCAAAUAAAUCUAAUAGCUUUUUAUUAAGAAUAGUGUAGAAAUCUCAUCAUUUUUCUUCCAUUCUCACAUUACCUUCAUUCAUGUUUGAAGCAAACUUUGCUUUUAUUCUAAACUAUUCCUUUUUACCAUUUUCAACCAUUCCAAGCUUGAUUUCUUCAAUUUCUUCUAUGUAAGAUAGGUAAGAAAAAGUACAUCAAGAAUUUUUACUAUACCUAAUAAAAUAUAAGUAUAAAAUUAUGUUAGAUUAGUUAUAUUAAUAUUUGUGUGAUUAACUUAUUUAUGAAUUUGUUAAUAUUUAAUAUAAAAUUAAUUAGAUAAAAGUGUUGAUAUCAAUUGAAUUUCCAUUACAAAGUGAUUUGAGUAGUGUAUUGAAACUAUGGAAAAAGGGACUAAAUUGUAAGUGUACAAAUUUGAUAUGUGAAUUAGAUAUCAUGUUUGAGUACUUAAAUGAAGUGAUAUAUGAUAGUUUAUUAAAUAUAAAGUGAUCUUGAAGUGUUAUAAAAGUGGUAAGGAAUUUCAUGAUGAUGAAGACUUAUAAAGAACAUAAAAAGUUUAUAAGUGGCAGAGACAAUGAGAUCUCAAUAUCCCUACCUCUUUUCAAGUAAAUUUUAAAGACGAAAUUUCUUAAGAGGGAGAAUUGUAACGACCUAAUUUUUAAUGGUGUUGAAUAAUGCGAUUUCGAAACCUCAUUUUCGUAAACCGAGUUCGUAAAAAUAAAAUAGUAAUAUUUACAGAGUUAUUAUGAAAAUAUAAUAAAGAUUUGUAAUAGGCCCAAUUCGCCCGGCCCAUUAUAAACCAAAAAUAAUAAAUAUAAAAAACAAAAGAAAAUAAAUGGCCCAAAAUUAGUCAAAGUCCAAUUUUUUUUUACAAAUAAUAAAAUAACCCAAUUAACCCAAAUAAAUCCUCAAACCCAAUAAAAAUAUAAAACCCAAUUAGCCCAAAUAACCCAUUACCCCAAGCCCAAAACACUAAGGAUUUUUUCGGCAGAAACCCUAGAAGUUUCAGCCACCGCAGCCUCUAGUCGAUUCUUCCACUCGUGCCAUGCUCCACGAACGACUCCUCCACGCCAUACACACCUGCAACAGAAAAUAACCACAAGCAAUGGACAGCAAAUGAGAUGAAAUUUGUAUUUUUUAUUUUAUUUAUUUAUUUUUGUUUUUCGGCUAUAAAACCGAGAAAAAACGGUGUAAAUGGUUUUUUUUUCUUUUUUCUUCUUGUCACAAAUAGCAGAGAAAUAUAUGCAGAUACUAAAAAUCCAUUCGAAAUUAGCUUUAAGGUAAUUUUAGAUUGUAUUCUUCUUUGAUUUUCAUUUCUGUUUCGUCAUUCUUUAUCUAUUGCAUGAAAAUAAAUUUAUAAGAAAGAAAAGAAAGAAAGAAGACUUAUCUGUUGUUGAAGGAGGCUUUGAACUCCUUGUUUGCUUCGUCGAAACUGAAAUCAAGGCGAAGAUUUUGAAGCCUAUGAGUAAGGCUUUCAGAUUUGUGGUCGAACGGGACUAAACUUGGCCCUUGUUUCAUGGCCGUUGGCUGAAUAUGGAGGCAAAGCAGCAGUGGAAAGGUCUCUUAGGUUCGGCCAAGUAAAUAGGGAAUAGGUUUUAGGGUAUUCUUUUUUUAUUUUAAUUGGCAUUUAAAUAGCUGCAUAUUGAAUUUUAGUUUUUUAGAAUUGAUUGUAUGCAGAAUUCAAAACGGUGACAUAAGCUGGAUCCACGCUUUGGUGCUUCAGAUGGUUAAUUUGCGCAUAUAGUCCUUUUCUUUCGCAUUGACUUUUUAAUUAGUCCUUAUUCACAUUUUAUUUGUUUUAAAUUUCUCCUUAGAAUUUGCGCGGCAUUUCAGUUUAGCCCGAAUUUAAACAUUGUGCUUUGAGACUCGGUAUAUUUCCAGUUUCGAUCCCUGCACAUUCUCGCACAUUGCAUUGUAGUUCUUUUUUUGAUUUCAAUAGUUUAAGUUAUUAAUUAUCCCUUUCAUUUUAA
RNAcentral lists this long non-coding RNA (25952 nucleotides) under Gossypium barbadense (sea-island cotton). Its description in RNAcentral is "long non-coding RNA (GBAR_LNC002999)". Lineage: Eukaryota; Viridiplantae; Streptophyta; Magnoliopsida; Malvales; Malvaceae. The record is from RNAcentral.